Long non-coding RNA from Schistocerca piceifrons (Central American locust), 452 nucleotides. RefSeq lists it as uncharacterized. Lineage: Eukaryota; Metazoa; Arthropoda; Insecta; Orthoptera; Acrididae. The transcript is spliced from 3 exons. The record is from RefSeq and is a predicted model, not a curated record.
CAUCAGCGAAGAGAACUAACUUUGCCUCUUCAUGAAUAUAGAAUGGGUUUUCUGUAAUUGGGGUGUUACACAUCCCCCCCUGACGAUGAAGUGGGUACGUGACUUCCUGUUUCAACGUACCUAAUCAGCACAUCACCACACUGAUGCAGCACCUGCACCAGACCAUGCAAGCUGCAAACAUGGCCUGGUUUGAAGCCAGUUUCCUCUCCUCCAUCAACUAUGGCGAAGCUGCCACAGACUCAGAUCGUAUAUGACAGCGAGUAUGAUCCGAUUACUCUUGCUCGUCUGGUCCAGUGGCUGCCUUCCCGGUACACUGCACUAAAACCUCAGCACAGUCUGUCUUAAGAAUGUCCGCAUCACCAUUGUUGUAUAUGCUGUAACAAUUAAAUCACUUCUCUUCUCAGUACAUAACAUGAGAUUACACAUUACUAUCACAGUUCAUCAUGCUCAUU